Molecule: long non-coding RNA, 438 nt
Organism: Neodiprion virginianus
Lineage: Eukaryota; Metazoa; Arthropoda; Insecta; Hymenoptera; Diprionidae
Exons: 2
Source: RefSeq, a predicted model, not a curated record
UAUAUAUAUAUAUAUGUUUAUGUACUUGGCUAUAUUUUCUAAACGUUAACGACGACUCUUCGUUUAUUAGAGAGAAUGUGAUUUUCCAUAUUAUAUGCGGCGCGUAACACUUUUUUAACGCGUGCCCUACAAUGUAUAAGUAUUCUACAUACAUGACAAUAUAAUAUUCAUCCUACUGCACCAACCGACCCUCCCUCCAUCUAUCGUUUACCUACUUUCAGACUGCAGAGUUUGCACACGUGUUUUUAAUAUUUCAAAAGUCAAGCGUCCACUCGCCUCUAGAUAAUCAAUUCCGAAUUCAGUAAAUAUUUACUAUAGUUACGCAUUUAUUUCAUUUAUAUAUUUUUAUAUAUAUAUAAUUCACGUUUUGAAUUUUUUUUUUAAUAACAGAUCGGAACAGCAUUGUAUCUGGGUAAAUCACAUUUCACACGCAAACGC